CUGAGUAAACAAGCAAAUAAAUCAAAACUUUCAACAACGGAUCUCUUGGCUCUGGCAUCGAUGAAGAACGCAGCGAAAUGCGAUAAGUAAUGUGAAUUGCAGAAUUCAGUGAAUCAUCGAAUCUUUGAACGCACAUUGCGCCCGCCAGUAUUCUGGCG
RNAcentral lists this ribosomal RNA (158 nucleotides) under Fusarium solani. RNAcentral describes it as "5.8S ribosomal RNA". The stretch from base 26 to 158 matches the Rfam family "5.8S ribosomal RNA", at positions 1 to 133 of the family's 154-position model. Rfam says of the family: 5.8S ribosomal RNA (5.8S rRNA) is a component of the large subunit of the eukaryotic ribosome. It is transcribed by RNA polymerase I as part of the 45S precursor that also contains 18S and 28S rRNA. Lineage: Eukaryota; Fungi; Ascomycota; Sordariomycetes; Hypocreales; Nectriaceae. The record is from RNAcentral.